UAUUCUCAAACUACCUUAGCUUUUGUAGCUGGGAGUAGCUUUGGAUAUGGAGGUUUGCAGGCCCUUUUGAAGGUGUCAGCUCCUCUGAAAUGCAUUAGCGGAACCGUUUGCAAUCUGUUAACUGGUGUGAUAAUAUCUAUGCUAGUGGGAUUGCUCUCAGUCUGUUCAGCUUCUAAUGGUUUUUCCAUUAUGGAAGAUAUAUGAAC
This 206-nucleotide unclassified non-coding RNA is filed under the name uncultured Leucoagaricus. Its description in RNAcentral is "sequence contains ITS2". Lineage: Eukaryota; Fungi; Basidiomycota; Agaricomycetes; Agaricales; Agaricaceae. The record is from RNAcentral.